Molecule: RNase P RNA, 289 nt
Filed under: pig gut metagenome
Description: Bacterial RNase P class A
Rfam family: Bacterial RNase P class A
About the family: Ribonuclease P (RNase P) is a ubiquitous endoribonuclease, found in archaea, bacteria and eukarya as well as chloroplasts and mitochondria. Its best characterised activity is the generation of mature 5'-ends of tRNAs by cleaving the 5'-leader elements of precursor-tRNAs.
Source: RNAcentral
AUGUGUGAGGAAAGUCCGUGCUCCAAUAAUUGACGCUGGAUAACGUCCAGUGGGGGCGACCCUAAGGCUAGUGCAACAGAAAGAAACCGCCUAUUUAAUAGGUAAGGGUGGAAAGGUGGCUUAAGAGACCACCAGCAUAUAAGAGAUUAUGUGGCUAUGUAAACCCCGUCAGGAGCAAGAUCAAAUGGGACCUUUUUAAAGGUCAGAUGGUAGAUCGCUAGAGCUUAUUGGUAACAAUAAGCCAAGAUUAAUGGUUAGCAAUAACAGAACACGGCUUAUAGAAUUACUC